RNAcentral lists this ribosomal RNA (500 nucleotides) under uncultured bacterium. RNAcentral describes it as "bacterial SSU rRNA". It matches the Rfam family "Bacterial small subunit ribosomal RNA", at positions 38 to 518 of the family's 1533-position model. The record is from RNAcentral.
GGCGGCGUGCUUAACACAUGCAAGUCGAACGCGAAAGGGACUUCGGUCCUGAGUAAAGUGGCGCACGGGUGAGUAACGCGUAGAUAACCUGUCUUCAUGUCUGGAAUAAUACGCCGAAAGGGGUACUAAUACCGGAUAUUCUUGCUUUUCAUAAGUUAUGCAAGCAAAGGUGGCCUCUGCAUAUGCUACUGCAUGAAGAGGGGUCUGCGUACCAUUAGCUAGUAGGUGGGGUAAUGGCCUACCUAGGCGACGAUGGUUAGCGGGUCUGAGAGGAUGAUCCGCCACACUGGCACUGGAACACGGGCCAGACUCCUACGGGAGGCAGCAGUGAGGAAUAUUGCGCAAUGGGGGAAACCCUGACGCAGCGACGCCGCGUGAGUGAGGAAGGCCUUCGGGUCGUAAAGCUCUGUCAAGAGGAAAGAAGUGUACAAUGGCUAAUACCUGUUGUAUUUGACGGUACCUCUAAAGGAAGCACCGGCUAACUCCGUGCCAGCCGCCGC